GGCGGAUUUAGGGAGUACGGACCCAUCAUGAACAGAGUGUCUUCGGAGCUGAACAAAAGCAUUUUUGAUGCCUCUGAUGCGCUUAGUUCUAUCCCCGGGACUCGAGCUAGUGAGAACAAGUUGAGGGGAACGAUGAAGAAGUUCGUCAAAAAAUGUCGCAAGCUUGUGGGCCUGCUUGGGUGUGCCACCUCCUCCACUGAUGUGAUUGCUCCUGCAGCACCGAUGCAUAGCCUCGCUUCAUAGAGCCAGGCCGCCUCAUCGUCUAUGGCAGUUCAAGAUGACGAGGAGGAUGGCGAG
Non-coding RNA from Aegilops tauschii subsp. strangulata, 297 nucleotides. NCBI's taxonomy places the organism in Eukaryota, Viridiplantae, Streptophyta, Magnoliopsida, Poales, Poaceae. The record is from RefSeq and is a predicted model, not a curated record.